RNAcentral lists this transfer RNA (83 nucleotides) under Actinomycetota bacterium. RNAcentral's name for it is "tRNA-Leu". It matches the Rfam family "tRNA". Rfam says of the family: Transfer RNA (tRNA) molecules are approximately 80 nucleotides in length. Their secondary structure includes four short double-helical elements and three loops (D, anti-codon, and T loops). Lineage: Bacteria; Bacillati; Actinomycetota. The record is from RNAcentral.
GCCGGCGUGUCGGAACGGAAGACGAGAUGGUCUCAAACACCAUUGGGCGCAAGCCCGUGUGGGUUCGAGUCCCACCGCCGGCA